CGUGCCGUGCCGCGCCGCGCCGCGCUGUGCCGUGGCAGCGCCCGCGCCACGCAGCGCCGGCCGCCGCGGGCUCCCUUGCGCAGCCACCCGAGGUCGAUCGGCGGAGUGUGCUCGGCCGUGAGGAGGCGGCGAGGCCGUGUGAGGCUCUGGACUGCCCCAGAAGUUUGCUGGCAGAAACUGUUCCCUUUAUUGGCAAAGUCGUCAGGCUCUCCUCAGAGGAAUACCCCGUUGCCCAAGAUGAGUGGCUGUAGGAAGCGGUGUAAGCGGGAAAUAAUGAAAUUUGCCCAGUACCUUCUCAGGCUAAUCACAGGUUCUCUUCACACAGGUUUCCUCUACGCUCAGAACAGUACCAAACGCAGCAUUAAAGAGCGACUUAUGAAGCUCUUGCCCUGCUCGGCUGCCAAAACGACAUCUCCUGUUACUCAAAACACUGUAGAAGAUGAAAUGGAAAUGGCCACAGUACGACAUAGACCUGAAGCUCUUGAACUGCUGGAAGCACAGAGUAAAUUCACAAAGAAGGAACUUCAGAUCUUAUAUAGAGGUUUCAAGAAUGAAUGCCCCAGUGGUGUUGUCAAUGAAGAAACCUUCAAAGAGAUUUACUCUCAGUUCUUUCCACAGGGAGAUUCCACAACAUAUGCACAUUUUCUGUUUAAUGCAUUUGACACUGAUCACAACGGAUCUGUAAGUUUUGAGGAUUUUGUUAUGGGUCUCUCAAUUUUACUCAGAGGGACAGUACAGGAGAAACUGAACUGGGCUUUCAACUUGUAUGAUAUAAAUAAGGAUGGAUAUAUAACUAAAGAGGAAAUGCUUGAUAUCAUGAAAGCAAUAUACGAUAUGAUGGGGAAAUGCACCUACCCUGUUCUCAAAGAAGACGCACCGAGACAACAUGUGGAAACAUUUUUCCAGAAAAUGGACAAGAACAAAGAUGGAGUAGUUACCAUAGAUGAAUUCAUUGAGAGCUGCCAGAAACAACGGGUACGGGGCAGUGUCUCAUCUGUCAGCAGUGCUCUGUGGCACUGACCGUGGUUCCAGCUUGUCAGUCCUGUUCAAUACCAGCAAAAGUCAUUUCCUCUGCCAACACUGUGUGAUCAUCAGAAACAGAGAUGAGAUUCUUUUCCCAGCUGAGGAUGAGAAUAUAAUGCGAUCCAUGCAGCUCUUUGAAAAUGUGAUUUAAUGAAGACAUUAGGUCUACAACUAAUGGACAAAUAUGAACUAUUCUGCAACAUUAUCUAAAAAAAUGGAUUUCCCACUUUAUCAUAAAUAAAGUUACUCAGCUUUACACUGAGAAAUG
Haemorhous mexicanus (house finch) is the source of this 1291-nucleotide RNA transcript. It is a transcript of the gene named potassium voltage-gated channel interacting protein 4, with no coding region annotated. The record is from RefSeq and is a predicted model, not a curated record. The transcript is spliced from 10 exons. NCBI's taxonomy places the organism in Eukaryota, Metazoa, Chordata, Aves, Passeriformes, Fringillidae.